CCUACGGGAGGCAGCAGUGGGGAAUAUUGCACAAUGGGCGCAAGCCUGAUGCAGCAACGCCGCGUGAGGGACGACGGCCUUCGGGUUGUAAACCUCUUUUAGUAGGGAAGAAGCGAAAGUGACGGUACCUGCAGAAAAAGCACCGGCUAACUACGUGCCAGCAGCCGCGGUAAUACGUAGGGUGCAAGCGUUAUCCGGAAUUAUUGGGCGUAAAGAGCUCGUAGGCGGUUUGUCGCGUCUGCUGUGAAAACUGGAGGCUCAACCUCCAGCCUGCAGUGGGUACGGGCAGACUAGAGUGCGGUAGGGGAGAUUGGAAUUCCUGGUGUAGCGGUGGAAUGCGCAGAUAUCAGGAGGAACACCGAUGGCGAAGGCAGAUCUCUGGGCCGUAACUGACGCUGAGGAGCGAAAGCAUGGGGAGCGAACAGGAUUAGAUACCCUGGUAGUCCAUGCCGUAAACGUUGGGAACUAGAUGUAGGGACCAUUCCACGGUUUCUGUGUCGCNGCUACGACAUACGUUACCCGUCCGUCGGGAGGUACGGCCGCGACGGACGUAAACGUUAAAACGGUAAAGUUAGUACGGCGUGAGACGUGCCGAACGGACGACCGACCGAGGGAGGUAGGAG
RNAcentral lists this ribosomal RNA (623 nucleotides) under uncultured bacterium. Its description in RNAcentral is "bacterial SSU rRNA". The stretch from base 1 to 524 matches the Rfam family "Bacterial small subunit ribosomal RNA", at positions 338 to 873 of the family's 1533-position model. The record is from RNAcentral.